UGCGGAAGAGAUCGGGCCUUGAGCGCCCGGCGCCGAAGGAGCAACCGCCCCGGAAACUCUCAGGCAAAAGGACCGUAAA
RNAcentral lists this non-coding RNA (79 nucleotides) under Kaustia mangrovi. Its description in RNAcentral is "Glycine riboswitch". It matches the Rfam family "Glycine riboswitch aptamer", at positions 9 to 86 of the family's 94-position model. From Rfam's summary of the family: This family represents the bacterial glycine riboswitch. Lineage: Bacteria; Pseudomonadati; Pseudomonadota; Alphaproteobacteria; Hyphomicrobiales; Parvibaculaceae. The record is from RNAcentral.